GACGAACGCUGGCGGCGUGCUUAACACAUGCAAGUCGAGCGGUAAGGCCCUUCGGGUACACGAGCGGCGAACGGGUGAGUAACACGUGGGUGACCUGCCUCUAGCGUCUGGGAUAAGCCUGGGAAACUGGGUCUAAUACCGGAUAUGACUCCACGGCGCAUGGUUGUGGGGUGGAAAGCCUUGUGUGGCUAGAGAUGGGCCCGCGGCCUAUCAGCUUGUUGGUGGGGAUGGCCUACCAAGGCGACGACGGGUAGCCGGCCUGAGAGGGCGACCGGCCACACUGGGACUGAGACACGGCCCAGACUCCUACGGGAGGCAGCAGUGGGGAAUCUUGCGCAAUGGGCGAAAGCCUGACGCAGCGACGCCGCGUGA
Molecule: ribosomal RNA, 372 nt
Filed under: uncultured bacterium
Lineage: Bacteria
Description: bacterial SSU rRNA
Rfam family: Bacterial small subunit ribosomal RNA
Source: RNAcentral